This 468-nucleotide ribosomal RNA is filed under the name uncultured bacterium. RNAcentral describes it as "partial 16S ribosomal RNA". It matches the Rfam family "Bacterial small subunit ribosomal RNA", at positions 28 to 507 of the family's 1533-position model. The record is from RNAcentral.
GACGAACGCUGGCGGCGUGCUUAACACAUGCAAGUCGAACGGAAAGGCCCUGCUUUUGUGGGGUGCUCGAGUGGCGAACGGGUGAGUAACACGUGAGUAACCUGCCCUUGACUUUGGGAUAACUUCAGGAAACUGGGGCUAAUACCGGAUAGGAGCUCCUGCUGCAUGGUGGGGGUUGGAAAGUUUCGGCGGUUGGGGAUGGACUGGCGGCUUAUCAGCUUGUUGGUGGGGUAGUGGCUUACCAAGGCUUGGACGGGUAGCCGGCCUGGGAGGGUGACCGGGCACAUUGGGACUGAGGUACGGCCCAGACUCCUACGGGAGGCAGCAGUGGGGAAUAUUGCACAAUGGGCGGAAGCCUGAUGCAGCAACGCCGCGUGCGGGAUGACGGCCUUCGGGUUGUAAACCGCUUUCGCCUGUGACGAAGCGUGAGUGACGGUAAUGGGUAAAGAAGCACCGGCUAACUACGUG